RNAcentral lists this ribosomal RNA (931 nucleotides) under Leuconostoc mesenteroides. RNAcentral describes it as "bacterial SSU rRNA". Lineage: Bacteria; Bacillati; Bacillota; Bacilli; Lactobacillales; Lactobacillaceae. The record is from RNAcentral.
CCCGGAAGGCGGUUUAUUCCGGAUUUAUUGGGCGUAAAGCGAGCGCAGACSGGUUGAUUAAGUCUGAUGUGAAAGCCCGGAGCUCAACUCCGGAAUGGCAUUGGAAACUGGUUAACUUGAGUGCAGUAGAGGUAAGUGGAACUCCAUGUGUAGCGGUGGAAUGCGUAGAUAUAUGGAAGAACACCAGUGGCGAAGGCGGCUUACUGGACUGUAACUGACGUUGAGGCUCGAAAGUGUGGGUAGCAAACAGGAUUAGAUACCCUGGUAGUCCACACCGUAAACGAUGAACACUAGGUGUUAGGAGGUUUCCGCCUCUUAGUGCCGAAGCUAACGCAUUAAGUGUUCCGCCUGGGGAGUACGACCGCAAGGUUGAAACUCAAAGGAAUUGACGGGGACCCGCACAAGCGGUGGAGCAUGUGGUUUAAUUCGAAGCAACGCGAAGAACCUUACCAGGUCUUGACAUCCUUUGAAGCUUUUAGAGAUAGAAGUGUUCUCUUCGGAGACAAAGUGACAGGUGGUGCAUGGUCGUCGUCAGCUCGUGUCGUGAGAUGUUGGGUUAAGUCCCGCAACGAGCGCAACCCUUAUUGUUAGUUGCCAGCAUUCAGAUGGGCACUCUAGCGAGACUGCCGGUGACAAACCGGAGGAAGGCGGGGACGACGUCAGAUCAUCAUGCCCCUUAUGACCUGGGCUACACACGUGCUACAAUGGCGUAUACAACGAGUUGCCAACCCGCGAGGGUGAGCUAAUCUCUUAAAGUACGUCUCAGUUCGGAUUGUAGUCUGCAACUCGACUACAUGAAGUCGGAAUCGCUAGUAAUCGCGGAUCAGCACGCCGCGGKGAAUACGUUCCCGGGUCUUGUACACACCGCCCGUCACACCAUGGGAGUUUGUAAUGCCCAAAGCCGGUGGCCUAACCUUUUAGGAAGGAGCCG